GGCAUUGAUAUUUUCUUUAGAAAAUAUACCCGAGUGAUCAGGUGAAUCUUCCGUGGAGUUUCUUGACCCGCCAUCGAGCAACCGCCGCCCCACGUCCACAGACCCUCUACAAUCACCUUCUGUUUGCAAGGCCGUGAUAACCGAUUUCAAUGCCCGACUCGGCGAAUUCCGGUUCGCAAUCAUGAGCUCACCUAUCUCCGCCGGACUCAGACUCGCUCCGGUUUGGAAAAUUUCCUCUACUUGAGGAAACAGCUUGUGAUUCUUCACUCCCAAGUAGCUAUUCGCCAAUGUCCUGAAUGCUGAGAAAUCGCAUAACGGAAAAUGGAUAUGGACGUCAAUUCGACCCGGUCUAAGGAUAGCCGGGUCGAUGUGAUCUUUGCUAUUCACUGUAAAAACCAUAAUUCUCUCCUCCGCACAGCAAGAAUUUAAAAUCCCAUCCAUGAAGUUUAAAACACCUGAUAAGCUUACAGCCGUUGACUUGCCCAUCAGAAACCGAUCGAGGUCUUCUACCACAAUCACGGACUUGGUUGUGGUUUGUAGCAGGAGCAAUUUGAGAUCAGAAUCGCCUAAAACUCUGGAAAGAUCGAUGUCAUACACAUCGUAGCCAAGAAAAUUGGCCAUGGCAGCAACAAAGCUGGAUUUUCCAGUACCUGAUGGCCCGUACAAGAGAUAGCUCCGUCGCUUCCACGCGCGACCCAACCUGUGAUAGUAUUGUUUGGCCUUGAGGAAAGACUCCAGAUCUGACUUUAACUUGUUUUUGAGAUCGGAUUCCAUGGCAAUUGUUUCAAACGUUGAAGGAUGAGUAAAGAGAACAAAUCUCCACCGUCUGUUCUGAUUUUGAUCACUGUUGAUAUUCAUGUAAAGCUUCAAUUCUCUCUUCUUCUUCUGCUCGAGCUCGUCGAAAACUGUGUGGAUCUGCUGGAGAUAAGGCCGGAGAAUUCUUCGCUUAUCGGCUUUUCUGAUCUUCAAAACGAAAGCUCUAGAAUGGGUUGUAUCUGUUUUCACUUCGUUUAUCCAAGAAACUCUAGCUCCAAGGAAAUCAUCAUCGAUUACCUGACUAGGGUCGAGGCGGAGUAUGAUAUCAUUGGAUUUUUUUCCGGUGAAGAGGUUGGUAUAAUUGGAGUCCUCCAUGGAAGCCAGAGAGUUUAGAUAAACAGAGACUUUGGAAUAAAGCUGAUU
RNAcentral lists this unclassified non-coding RNA (1179 nucleotides) under Hevea brasiliensis (rubber tree). Lineage: Eukaryota; Viridiplantae; Streptophyta; Magnoliopsida; Malpighiales; Euphorbiaceae. The record is from RNAcentral.